AAUUCCUGCCUUUGCUUGCAUGGGACCUCCAGCCGCUUGAUGGGGCUGGGUGGGUGUUCAAUCCUCCAUUUGCACACAACGGUCCCCCUCCCCCAAAACCCAGCCUCCACCCCAUAGAUUUCAAGUCAACAUGAUUAUCCUUCACGGUACAGACCCAGGAGUGCCCGGGAGCAGGAUUCAGCCCCAAAGCAAGGGGGUUUACCCACACAGCAGUGAGGCCUACUGUUCUACAGAAGGUAGACGGAACCUCUGAGGUAUGGCGAAGGUCUCCUGCCUUCAAGAGGGGAGGGCAUAGCAGCGGGAGUCUGGAGGCAGCCGCUAAGGGAUGAGAAUGUGGAGCCUGUUCCACCAUGGAGCUUAACUACCACAUAUUGCCCCACCCACCCCUUAGUCUUUCCCUCCAUUGUCCAGUCAGGGUUUGUCAGGCCCUUAACCCUGCCUGCCGACCUGGCAGACACCGAGAAGGUAGCCCAAAGGGCCUGUGGGCCACAGCAUUUUUAUUGCAACACCUACAAUUGGUUCUAGAAACUGAGGCUUGGCUGCUGGGCUUGUGUCCAUCAGCUUGGAGCCCGUCCUCUCUAAUUGGCACUUUCUGGACCGGUGUGAUUGCUCGCUGGCUCCUGGAGUGCGGAGGAGGGGGUCCUGGCAAAGUCCACCCCUGCCUGCCCAGCUCUGCUGAGCCGCUUCUCUUUCCCAGCAUCCUCAGAUGCUCGCUUUGGAACUUCCGGGCUGGGCUCUGUUUGAACGGCUGUUCUGAGGAUCGCCUGCCUGACGCUUUCGGUGGUCCAACCAGGGGAUCUGUCCUGCCCCUCCCUUGCCAAGGGGCUUGCUUUCGGCUUCUCCGGUUUGGGAGUGGACGGCUCCACCUUUGCUGAUUCCAACAGAGCCUGGAUGGUGCUGAAGGGCACUUCCCCCCAACCCAUGGCCCUGGAGAGUUUCGCAAAUGGAGUCUUGCGUAGCAUCUCCUGCCGGAAAUCGUGGUUGCUUCCGCUGGGGUAGUUCCUCCCUCUGAGGCUGGGGACGGAGCCCUUCCCGCCCUUCAUGGCCCGAGGGUUGGUGCCGAUGUCGGCCGUGAUGUUCGUGUAAAGGGGAAGCAGCUCCUUGGAGAGGAGUGUGUACGAGAGGGAGUUCAUGCCAUCCUGAGUCCAGACCCGGUGCGUCCGGAUCAGCAGGUCAAACCUACAAGAUGGAACAGCGAGAGAAAGAGUGCAAAGUUACACCAAUGCCGUAUAACAGGUGUGGGGAACCUUUGACUCUCCACGUGUUGCUGAACUAAAACUCCCGUCAUCCCUGGACCUUGGCCAUGCUUGCUGGGCUGAUGGGAAUUGUAGUUCAGCAAUAUCUCAAGUGCCAAAGAGUUUUCCACAUCAGCUUUAAUGACUGAACAAAGCCCAAGCGUUUAUUCUGUGCCUCCCUUUACUUUACGCCAGACUAAAAGAGGAAAUAUGCAGACUGAGAUAACAUGUAAGAAGGGUUGUAACCCAGCGGCAGAGCGAGUCUGUGCCCCGCACCAGAAGGAGAACACACCCUUCCAAGUGGGUGAGGAUCAGCAAUCAGGGUCACAACCACCACCAGGCUGGAAUUUGUACACGAGGGUUAGUUGCUGCCUCUGGAAUGCAGACAGCCCCCCCUCACUUCCCAGCAUAAAAAGGGCUGGAAGAACACCGGAUCUCUCUCCCCCUUCAACUUAAAAUCUGAAAGAUGUCAGAUUGGGUGGCACCCUCCGCAAGCAAGGAUCCUCCAAAAACUCUUAUUAAUUGAGAAAGCAGCAGUCGGCAGGGUAACAGCCAAGAACACCAGCGCUGAUCCAAGCCAGCUUUCUGGAGUGUAUUCCAUGCUGCGGGGGAAGAACCCUCCCCAAGCAGUCCAAAUUCUGCACCAAGAAAAAAAAGGGGGGGGAUUCUGCAACUGGUUUAAUUUACACGCAUUGAACUGAUUUACAUCUCAGCCUGCAUAAUUUAUUCUGGCUUACUCCUCCGGAUGCUGAAGCCCAACCCCCUACCCCAGCACUAGCCAAAGUGCUGCCCUUCCGGGUGAUGUCAACUACAUCACCCAUCGCCCCUGACCAUUAGGCCAUUUGGGGAAGGGCUGGAGCUCAGUGGGGAGAGCAUCUGCUUUGCAUGGAGAAGGCCCCAGGUUCAAUCCCCAAUGGCAUCUCCAGGUAGGGCUGGGACAGAAUUCUGAAACCCUUUAGAGCUGCUGCCAGUCAGUGUGGACAAUACUGAGUUUGUUGGGGAAAUGGUCCUUUAAUCCCACUACGAUGGAAAAAAAGCAGUGCACCUGUGCGGAUUUUCCUCAUUGCCUUUGUCGCCCUUGUGCUUCACCAUCUUGUAGUGGCCGACGGAGAUGGGAGGCCGCGAGAUCUUCAUGCCGGCCAGGCGCACCCUGGAGACACAGAAGCAAAAACGCUGAGUCAGGAUUGGCUGGGCCGGCCCUACUAUGAGGCAGAGCCAGGCCAGCAUCUCGGGCAACAGGCUGAGAGGUAACAGCAGCAGCACCCCCACAGCUGCUCCCCUCUGGCAGGGGUCAGAGCUAUGUCUGCCACAGGCCUGUCGUACAGUGCACGCACCCAUUCCCUCGGCCAUCCUCUUACACUGCUGCUGAAAGAAACGCACUGACUGACAAUCAGCUAUCAGCUUUGGCUUCUAUCCAAAGUCUCUCAUUCCAUUCGUGCAAGGAUUUACACUUGUGCAACAGGGCUCCUCCCCCUGCCCCCACAAAAACCCUCUAAAUAUCUUCUGGAUUUUUCUCCAGACCUCUGGAGAUUUGGGGAAGGCAUGGGGCCUGCACAUGCAGAGGGGAAUCAACUGCCAGCUGGCUAGGGGGCGAGAGGGGGACGCCAUUUUGUCUUUUGCCUCAGGCAGCAAAUCAGGCACCCGAGGAUUUAGUCGGAUGUCGCAGGCCCCUUCAGAGGCCCCUUGUGUGGGGAGCUACCUAACAACCAUGGCCACCUUCUCCUGGAAUAAGAAGAGAUCUCAACCCUGCUGUGAGGUCAGAGACUCCUAGCCUAUCAGGUGAUGGGCACCGUGUAACACGGAAUAAAGGUUCUCUUUUUAAAGCCGGCUCUUCCGUGUGGGGGAGGUUUCCAGAAAAGUGAAGGAACAUAGAGAUGCCCUCAGAGCAAAACCCGCCGUCUCCUCCUCUCCCUUUCUACUCAAAUCUCUCCGAUUUCUUUUAUCUUUGCCCAAAGUUAAGAAUUCCUGUUUUCCUCACAGUGGGAGGUGGAACAGUUGCCAUGGUGACACACAGCUCUAGCCAAAUCAGUUCAAGAGAGGCAGAACUUGGGAGCCAAACGCUUCCCUGGACGAGCCGGUCGGAGCCAAACACCUAUUUUAUUCAUCCCUCGUGACCUCUCCAACCUUCCUUCUGUUGUCAUCCCUCACUGGCAAAUCUUUUGUUGUUGUCCGGGGUACCCAUUUUGUGCUGGUACUCAUGGCACUUCUAUCAAUAUAGGUGAAGCAACCAGACAGCCAUCUUGUCGAACACUUUCUAAUCUGCCUACGUAGUGUGGAGUAAAAUUCUUCCCAGUUCUCAGCACCUGGCUCACAACUGCACUAAAAAAACAACAGGUGGCUGGGUUUUCCUGUCCGCCUUCACUGGCUGUUGCUGAGCUGAACCAUCGGCAUUUCAUGACAGAGCCUUCCCUCUCAGAAUUGGAGUGUUUGAGAACAUGCCAUGGCAUUACAGCGUUGCAGUUUUCUGGCCUUACCUGAAUGCUGCAGCCUAAAUGCCACAGCCUGGGAGGGAGAAAUGAGCAUGCAAGGAUCCGAGAGUGUGAGCAACGCAAAGUGGAGGAAGAGAUAAAAAGAGAUGAUAAUGAAGGCAAUGAGAGGGAAAACAUCACCCCAGUUGAAAAGCAGGAAGUGGGGAAUGGAAAAUAGGCAUUACACAGCAGAGGAUGGGUGUGAAAUCAGUGCUCCAAGGACCUCCAGCUUUGCUGAAGCUGAACCCCGACAAGACCGAGGUGCUGCUCGUGGGGGACAAAGGAAGGUUGGGAGAUGUUGACUUGAAGUUCAAUGUGGUAACUCUACCCCUGAAGGACCAGGUCUGCAGCCUUGGGGUUGUACUUGAUUCCAGGCUGUCCAUGGAGGCUCAGAUUUCAGCAGUGAGCCGGGCAGCCUGGUAUCAACUACACCUCAUACGAAGGCUGCAACCCUACCUUCCUGCUCAUCAGCUCCCACUGGUAGUACAUGCCCUGGUCACCUCUCGCUUGGAUUACUGUAAUGCGCUCUAUGUGGGGUUACCCUUGAAAACGGUCCGGAAAUUACAACUUAUACAAAAUGCGGCGGCUCGACUACUUACGAAUAGCCGCCGCCGGGAUCACAUCACACCAGUGUUGUUCGAUCUACACUGGCUUCCAGUUGUCUUCCGGGCCCAAUUCAAGGUGUUGGUAUUAACCUUUAAAUCCCUAUACGGUCUCGGCCCAGUUUAUCUUACGGAGCGCCUUCCACGCCACCAAUUAUGCCGCCCGACAAGAUCAGCCACACAAGGCCUUCUCUCAAUCCCGCUGACAAAAACAGCCAGAUUGGCGGGUACAAGAGAGAGGGCCUUCUCAGUGGCGGCCCCCACCCUCUGGAACUCCCUCCCACAAGAUCUCCGGCACGCCUCUUCCCUAAAUGCAUUCCGUAAAGCCUUAAAGACCUGGCUCUUUCAACAGGCCUUUGGGAUCUCCGGGGAGGGUUAAUUGUUAUGACUGAAAUGCCUCCUGCCCUGUUUUAAUAUUGUUGUGGCAGCUGUAUUGCUUUUAUACUGUUGUUAUA
Rhineura floridana is the source of this 4760-nucleotide long non-coding RNA. RefSeq lists it as uncharacterized. NCBI's taxonomy places the organism in Eukaryota, Metazoa, Chordata, Lepidosauria, Squamata, Rhineuridae. The transcript has 3 exons. The record is from RefSeq and is a predicted model, not a curated record.